CCGGCAAGCCCGGCAGAAUCACCCUACCGCCCCGCACGGAAAACCUCUCCUCCCGCAUAACACCCCAACCCGACCUCGCCGGCGGCGAGCGUGUGCCCAUGGCGGACGGCGGCGAUAUGGACGAGGAGGCGAUGCGGGCCUUCUUCCCGCUCUCCUUUGGCAAGACCGCCGCGCGCCCCACCUCCGCGGCCUCCUCCUCCGCCCAUUCCUCCACCCUCCGCAAGCCCCAAAACCCUAGUAACCCCAAGCCCUCCUCCUCCACCGCAGCUGACGACGACGGAGGCGCCAUGAUUGGUCCCCCUCGGCCGCCGCCGACGCCCGCGGGGGACGACGACGAUGAAGAGGAGGGCGGCGGCAUGAUCGGGCCGCCUCGGCCCCCACCGCUCUCCGCUCACGGCGAGGGGGAGGAUGACGAGGGCGGCUGCAUGAUUGGACCGCCUAGGCCGCCGACAGCGGAGGAGGACGAAGAGGAGGAGGAGAACGACGACGACGACGAUAUGGAGGACGACGGUGAUGGCGGGUUCAAUAGGAUCCCUCUCAGCAACGAAAUUGUUCUGCGGGGGCACACCAAGGUUGUCUCAGCCCUUGCCGUUGACCAUACAGGAUCCAGAGUGCUCUCUGGUAGCUAUGAUUAUACAGUGCGCAUGUACGAUUUCCAGGGUAUGAAUUCAAAACUGCAAUCAUUCAGACAAUUGGAACCCUUUGAGGGCCAUCAAGUUCGUAGCCUAAGUUGGAGCCCAACGUCCGACCGAUUCUUAUGUGUUACCGGUUCUGCUCAGGCCAAAAUUUAUGACCGUGAUGGCCUCACGCUUGGCGAGUUCGUUAAGGGUGAUAUGUAUAUUCGUGAUCUAAAGAAUACAAAGGGACACAUUUCUGGGCUGACAGGUGGGGAGUGGAAUCCAAAGUCAAAAGAGACUAUUCUGACCUCAUCUGAAGAUGGUUCAAUACGUCUCUGGGAUGUGUCAGACUUUAAAAGUCAAAAGCAGGUCAUCAAACCAAAGCUAGUAAGACCAAUGCGGAUCCCUGUUACAUCAUGUGCAUGGGACCAUGAAGGAAAACGAAUCGUGGGUGGCAUAGGAGAUGGUUCGAUACAGCUCUGGACUAUAAAAACUGGAUGGGGUAGCAGACCAGAUAUCCAUGUUGAGAAAACACAUACAGAGGAUAUUACUGGAGUUAAGUUUUCAACAGAUGGACAGAUUCUUCUGUCAAGAAGUAUGGAUAGUACUCUGAAGAUAUGGGAUCUGAGAAAAAUGAAAACUCCUUUGAAAGUGUUUGAAGAUUUGCCAAAUCACUAUGCUGAGACAAAUGCAGCUUUUAGCCCAGAUGAGCAACUUAUUGUUACAGGAACCUCUAUUGAAAAGGAUGGUGACAAUGGGGGACUACUCUGUUUCUUUGAUAGAAAGAAACUUGAGCUUGUAUCAAAGGUGGGGAUUUCACCACAUUACAGUGUGAUACGGUGCCUAUGGCAUCCAAGGAUCAACCAGGUGUUUGCUACAGUUGGGGACAAGAAAGAAGGCGGGAGUCAUAUCCUUUAUGAUCCUUCUAUUAGUCAGAGAGGAGCUCUUGUAUGUGUUGGACGAGCACCAAGGAAAAAGUCUGUCGAUGACUUUGAGGUGCAACCUGUCAUACACAAUCCACAUGCAUUGCCACUUUUCAGAGAUCAACCAAGUCGUAAACGUCAAAGAGAGAAGAUACUAAAGGACCCGCUCAAAUCACACAAACCAGAAGCACCUGUUAAUGGUCCGGGUUAUGGUGGAAGAGUUGGUACUUCAAAAGGCAGCUUACUGACACUGUACCUCUUGAAGGAAGGUGGUUUAAUUAAGGAGACCUGGAUGGAUGAAGAUCCAAGAGAAGCAAUUUUGAAGUAUGCUGAUGCUGCAGAGAAAGAUCCAAAGUUUAUUGCGCCAGCUUAUUCUCAAACCCAGCCAAAACCUGUCUUUGCAGAGUCUGAUUCAGACAAUGAAGAGAAAUAACCAUGUGUCUGGUUACCUAAGCUAGCAUACAACCUGUAUUCGAUUUUCUGACAGCUGUCAACUUAUUGCGCAAGUCCUGUAACCUGUUUCCUAACAGUGGAGAAACAAAAGAGUAUGUAUAUGGAUCUUGAAGACAAAGUUUGCAGAAUUAACUGUUGGGAGAGGGAGAUUCUCUGUUUCUCUUUGCAAUAUCUGAUGGAAGAGUUGUUGCAAGAGAACAAGGAGUACGAGGUGGCAUAGGCAUCCGUUGAGUUCCCUGGCAACUGAAGCAUAUCUCAGCACUUUCAUGUGGCAUUAUGUGGUCCCUGCAAUGCAUUUUCUCUACCCAUGCACUCUUGAUCACAGGUACUCUCUGUAUUUGGUUAGCAUUACACAAAUGUAACUAUUGUGUGGGAUGCAGCAAAUGUUCGGCCAGCUUCCAUUUUCCAGAUGUUGUAUCAGUAUGCAGCUGAUGUUCGGCCAUUAUCCAUUUUCCAGAUGUUGUAUCAGUUACCUUUUUUUAUGGAAAUGUGUAUUUCUUUUUCUUUGUAUCGUUUAUCUGUUGCCAGUGCUGCAACCUGAGAAACGAUGGUACUCGCCCGCACCCUGUUUCUGUUCACAAUUGAGCAAACUCACUUUGGCAAGUUGGUGGCAAUCUUGUCAGCAUCAUCUGAUAUAAUUUGAGUUUUUCCCCUUAA
Panicum virgatum (switchgrass) is the source of this 2650-nucleotide RNA transcript. It is a transcript of the gene named WD repeat-containing protein 70-like, with no coding region annotated. The transcript is spliced from 9 exons. Lineage: Eukaryota; Viridiplantae; Streptophyta; Magnoliopsida; Poales; Poaceae. The record is from RefSeq and is a predicted model, not a curated record.